AUGCUAAAUAAUUCGGUUGGAAAUUGUCUUUUCUAAUAGUAAAAAAUAAAUGGACAAGAUUAUUGUUUUCAAUCCAGAUACGGCCAGAAUUUUUGUUUAAGUCAAACAUCAGAGUUAGAUUUUUUUCUCAAAUAUCUCAGACUGCCUCCUCAAAUCUAAGUACCUUAGACUUUAAAUCAAUCUAGAGCUUUAAAUACUGACCGGGGAUCAUUGUUCAGCUAUGUUAUUUUGAAAU
This 235-nucleotide long non-coding RNA is filed under the name Mytilus galloprovincialis (Mediterranean mussel). Lineage: Eukaryota; Metazoa; Mollusca; Bivalvia; Mytilida; Mytilidae. The record is from RNAcentral.